UGGGGGAUAUUGCACAAUGGGCGAAAGCCUGAUGCAGCGACGCCGCGUGGGGGAUGAAGGCCUUCGGGUUGUAAACUUCUUUUGCUCUGAACAAGGCAUGCCUUUGGGGUGUGUUGAGUGUAGGGGUUGAUUAGCGCCGUCUAACUACGUGCCAGCAGCCGCGGUAAUACGUAGGGCGCGAGCGUUGUCCGGAAUUAUUGGGCGUAAAGGGCUUGUAGGUGGCUGGUUGCGUCUGUCGUGAAAGCUCAUGGCUUAACUGUGGGUUUGCGGUGGGUACGGGCUGGCUUGAGUGCAGUAGGGGAGGCUGGAAUUCCUGGUGUAGCGGUGGAAUGCGCAGAUAUCAGGAGGAAUACCGGUGGCGAAGGCGGGUCUCUGGGCUGUUACUGACGCUGAGGAGCGAAAGCGUGGGGAGCGAACAGG
This 420-nucleotide ribosomal RNA is filed under the name Fusobacteriota bacterium. RNAcentral describes it as "Fusobacteria bacterium partial 16S ribosomal RNA". It matches the Rfam family "Bacterial small subunit ribosomal RNA", at positions 355 to 776 of the family's 1533-position model. The record is from RNAcentral. Lineage: Bacteria; Fusobacteriati; Fusobacteriota.